This 600-nucleotide long non-coding RNA is filed under the name Manihot esculenta (cassava). RNAcentral describes it as "long non-coding RNA (MESC_LNC003185)". Lineage: Eukaryota; Viridiplantae; Streptophyta; Magnoliopsida; Malpighiales; Euphorbiaceae. The record is from RNAcentral.
AAGAAAGGAAAAGAAAAAAAGAAGAUAAUACAUAAAUUUUUAAUUUAAAAAUAAGUGGCUCAUUUGUAGCCACAAACCAAAUAAAAAAAAUAAAAAAAAAAGAAAAGAAAAGAGGAAAGAAGAAGAGACUAGAAGUGAAGAGAGAAACCCAUUUUUGUUUUCUCCAUUUUCUUCUCCUUCCUCUGCCGUGAAACCUCCUUUCUCCAUUUGUUUUUCUACACCAAAAUUGCGUCAAAAUUUCACCUCCAAUUAAUUCCCUAUCUUCUCUCAACACCUUUCCAAAGACGCAUUUGAAGAAAAGAAGGGAAAUCAAAGAGAAAUUUCAAGGGUGAGGGAGAGUGAAUAGUAACCAAGGGUUUGGAAAUUUGAAAGGUAUGUUAGGGGUUUUUGUUGUAGGGUUAUUUCUUAUCAUUUUAUGUGAAUAUUUAUGAGAAAUAUUGUAUUAAUUUGAUUUAUUGGUUUAUUUUUUUUCAUGAAGAAGAAGUGGAAGGGAAAGGAAAAGAAAAGGAAAAUUAGGGAAUUUUAAGCUUGUGGAAGAUCUUGGGAAGGUUUGUGCUCAACUCUAUUUCAAUAAAUUCAAGAAAUGGUUAUUUAUGUUCA